CCUACGGGUGGCAGCAGUGGGGGAUAUUGCACAAUGGGGGGAACCCUGAUGCAGCGACGCCGCGUGGGUGAAGAAGCGCCUCGGCGCGUAAAGCCCUGUCAGCAGGGAAGAACAUGACGGUACCUGAUGAAGAAGCCACGGCUAACUACGUGCCAGCAGCCGCGGUAAUACGUAGGGGGCAAGCGUUAUCCGGAUGUACUGGGUGUAAAGGAGGGGCAGACGGCGAUGCAAGCCAGGAGUGAAAGCCCGGGGCCCAACCCCGGGACUGCUCUUGGAACUGCGUGGCUGGAGUGCAGGAGGGGCAGGCGGAAUGCCUGGUGUAGCGGUGAAGUGCAUAGA
RNAcentral lists this ribosomal RNA (339 nucleotides) under uncultured bacterium. RNAcentral describes it as "partial 16S ribosomal RNA". It matches the Rfam family "Bacterial small subunit ribosomal RNA", at positions 338 to 694 of the family's 1533-position model. The record is from RNAcentral.